UGGGGAAUUUUGGACAAUGGGCGAAAGCCUGAUCCAGCAAUGCCGCGUGUGUGAAGAAGGCCUUCGGGUUGUAAAGCACUUUUGUCCGGAAAGAAAUCCUUGGCUCUAAUACAGUCGGGGGAUGACGGUACCGGAAGAAUAAGCACCGGCUAACUACGUGCCAGCAGCCGCGGUAAUACGUAGGGUGCAAGCGUUAAUCGGAAUUACUGGGCGUAAAGCGUGCGCAGGCGGUUUGCUAAGACCGAUGUGAAAUCCCCGGGCUCAACCUGGGAACUGCAUUGGUGACUGGCAGGCUAGAGUAUGGCAGAAGGGGGGUAGAAUUCCACGUGUAGCAGUGAAAUGCGUAGAGAUGUGGAGGAAUACCGAUGGCGAAGGCAGCCCCCUGGGCCAAUACUGACGCUCAUGCACGAAAGCGUGGGGAGCAAACAGGAUUAGAUACCCUGGUAGUCCACGCCCUAAACGAUGUCAACUAGUUGUUGGGGAUUCAUUUCCUUAGUAACGUAGCUAACGCGUGAAGUUGACCGCCUGGGGAGUACGGUCGCAAGAUUAAAACUUAAAGGAAUUGACGGGGUCAUAGCUG
Molecule: ribosomal RNA, 580 nt
Filed under: uncultured bacterium
Lineage: Bacteria
Description: partial 16S ribosomal RNA
Rfam family: Bacterial small subunit ribosomal RNA
Source: RNAcentral